Molecule: non-coding RNA, 637 nt
Organism: Artibeus jamaicensis (Jamaican fruit-eating bat)
Lineage: Eukaryota; Metazoa; Chordata; Mammalia; Chiroptera; Phyllostomidae
Source: the annotation of a RefSeq genome assembly
AUCACCCAUAGCCACACCCUCCCCUAUAGAAGUCCUGAUGGCACAGCAUCUCACCAUGGACUGGAGCUGGAGAGCCCUCUUCCUGGUGGCAGUAGCUACAGGUGUCCAGGCCCAGGUACAGCUGGUACAGUCUGGGGCUGAGGUGAGGAAGCCUGAGGCCUCAGUGAAGGUCUCCUGCAAGGCUUCUGGAUAUACUUUCACCAGCUACUAUAUGAACUGGGUACGGCAGGCUCCAGGACAAGGCCUUGAGUGGAUGGGAAGAGUUAACCCUAACAAUGGUGGUACAAACUAUGCACAGAAGUUCCAGGGAAGAGUCACCAUGACAACAGAUAAGUCCACAAGUACAGCCUACAUGGAGCUGAGCAGCCUGAGAGCUGAGGACACAGCUGUGUAUUACUGUACUACAGCCACAGUGAAGGGAACAAAGCAUGAAUGCCAGUUGACACUUACAGAUAUCAAGCUGACACUCAAUCCCAGUAGAAGCACAAACGGUGAGGCCACAUCUGUCCUGUCCCAGCAUGAGGAGGACAAAGCUGUGCUGUUCUCUCCAUUGCAUGUAUCUACAAGACCUCAGGCACCACCCUGCAAGACAGCGACCCCGGGUAUUGGAUUUCUGAUUGAGUUCUCCCUGCAGUAG